UAGAAAGGCUGCCUCCGAGAAGAGAGGACGAUCCGGCCAUGGCGGCUGUGCCCGUCGAUUCAUCACUUCGACCAGAGAGAGGUUGUCCGAAUGUACGACAAUGGAGGCGUUCUGAAACCCCUGAUCCAGCAGAUGACAAAGGGCUAAAGAAAGGGCUUGGAUCUCCACCUGCAGAGCGGAAGAAGCUUCAACCCUUGCUGAGAAGAUAUCGGUAAGUUUGCCUUGGUGAUCUCUGGAAAUACUAGCAAUACUACCAUGUGUGCUACCUUGGUGAUAGGAGCCGUCAAUGUUGAUCUUCAGUGUACCAGGAUCCGGGGGACGCCAUAAAUGCCCCAUCUGAGAGACGGAGGACUUCUGGUGUGCAGAGGAUGGCGAAGACAGUCGAUCUACUUGGGAAUUUGUUAAAGCGGCUUCUACAACAACAGUCGGAUGAGGAAAUUUACCCCGGAAGAGGAAACCAUUUCGGCCCUUCCAGAUCUGCCACAGCACAUUUGCG
Molecule: long non-coding RNA, 496 nt
Filed under: Eucalyptus grandis
Lineage: Eukaryota; Viridiplantae; Streptophyta; Magnoliopsida; Myrtales; Myrtaceae
Description: long non-coding RNA (EGRA_LNC000828)
Source: RNAcentral